UACCCGCAGCCCAAGUGGUAGUCGGUUUUAUUGGGCCUAAAGCGUCCGUAGCCGGUCUGGUAAAUGCCUGGGUAAAUCGUGGGGCUUAACCUCACGAAUUCCGGGUAGACUGUCAGACUUGGGACCGGUUGAGGGAGAGGGUACUCCGGGGGUAGGGGUGAAAUCCUGUAAUCCUUGGAGGACCACCGGUGGCGAAAGCGCUCUCCUAGGACGGGUCCGACGGUGAGGGACGAAAGCCAGGGGAGCAAACCGGAUUAGAUACCCGGGUAGUCCUGGCCGUAAACGAUGUGGGCUUGGUAUUGGAGGUUCCACGAGAGCGUCCAGUGCCGUAGCGAAGGCGUUAAGCCCACCGUCUGGGGAGUAUGGUCGCAAGGCUGAAACUUAAAGGAAUUGGCGGGGGAGCACAGCAACGGGAGGAGCGUGCGGUUU
This 429-nucleotide ribosomal RNA is filed under the name uncultured archaeon. Its description in RNAcentral is "bacterial SSU rRNA". It matches the Rfam family "Archaeal small subunit ribosomal RNA", at positions 474 to 903 of the family's 1478-position model. The record is from RNAcentral.